UUUUUGUAAAUAAUAAAAAGUUUAAUCUGCCCACUGAAUUUAUUUAAAGGGCUGCAGUAUAUUGACUGUACAAAGGUAGCAUAAUCAAUAGUCUUUUAAUUGAAGACUUGUAUGAAUGAUUUGAUGAAAUAUAAACUGUCUCUUUAUUAAAAAUAAAAUUUAAUUUUUUAGUUAAAAAGCUAAAAUAAUUAUAAAAGACGAGAAGACCCUAUAGAGUUUUAUAUUUAUUUUAUUUAGAAAUUAUUUAUAUAAUUUAAAUAUAUAAUAAUUUAAAUAUUUUAUUGGGGUGAUAGAAAAAUUAAAUAAACUUUUUUUAAAUUUUAACAUUAAUUUAUGAAAUUAUGAUCCAUAAUUUAUGAUUAAAAGAAAAAAUUACCUUAGGGAUAACAGCGUAAUUUUUUUUUUUAGUUCAAAUAAAAAAAAGAGUUUGCGACCUCGAUGUUGGAUUAAGAUAAAAUUUAAAUGCAAAAGUUUAAAAUUUUUGAUCUGUUCGAUCAUUAAAAUCUUACAUGAUCU
RNAcentral lists this ribosomal RNA (516 nucleotides) under Eurema aff. laeta A SSG-2014. Its description in RNAcentral is "partial 16S ribosomal RNA". The stretch from base 383 to 516 matches the Rfam family "Bacterial large subunit ribosomal RNA", at positions 2473 to 2606 of the family's 2925-position model. Lineage: Eukaryota; Metazoa; Arthropoda; Insecta; Lepidoptera; Pieridae. The record is from RNAcentral.